CCAAUAGCGUAUAUUAAAGUUGCUGCAGUUAAAAAGCUCGUAGUUGAAUUUCGGGACUAAUAUGUCGGCCGUGCCUCGGUACGUACUGGUAUUUUUGGUUUCUCCCUUCUGACGAACCUUGAUGUCAUUAAUUUGGUGUCUUGGGAAAUCAGGACUGUUACUUUGAAAAAAUUAGAGUGUUUAAAGCAGGCUCACGCUUGAAUACAUUAGCAUGGAAUAAUGAAAUAGGACGUUUGAUUCUAUUUUGUUGGUUUCUAGGAUCGACGUAAUGAUUAAUAGGGAUAGUUGGGGGCAUUAGUAUUCAAUUGUCAGAGGUGAAAUUCUUGGAUUUAUUGAAGACUAACUACUGCGAAAGCAUUUGCCAAGGAUGUUUUCAUUAAUCAAGAACGAAAGUUAGGGGAUCGAAGACGAUCAGAUACCGUCGUAGUCUUAACCAUAAACUAUGCCGACUAGGGAUCGGAUGAUGUUAAUUUUUUAAUGACUCAUUCGGCGCCUUACG
This 499-nucleotide ribosomal RNA is filed under the name uncultured Glomeromycotina. Its description in RNAcentral is "partial small subunit ribosomal RNA". It matches the Rfam family "Eukaryotic small subunit ribosomal RNA", at positions 591 to 1092 of the family's 1831-position model. The record is from RNAcentral. Lineage: Eukaryota; Fungi; Glomeromycota.